AUGCAGUCGAACGAGCGAGAGAGAGCUUGCUUUCUCAAGCGAGUGGCGAACGGGUGAGUAACGCGUGAGGAACCUGCCUCAAAGAGGGGGACAACAGUUGGAAACGACUGCUAAUACCGCAUAAGCCCACGACCCGGCAUCGGGUAGAGGGAAAAGGAGCAAUCCGCUUUGAGAUGGCCUCGCGUCCGAUUAGCUAGUUGGUGAGGUAAUGGCCCACCAAGGCGACGAUCGGUAGCCGGACUGAGAGGUUGAACGGCCACAUUGGGACUGAGACACGGCCCAGACUCCUACGGGAGGCAGCAGUGGGGAAUAUUGCACAAUGGGGGAAACCCUGAUGCAGCGACGCCGCGUGGAGGAAGAAGGUCUUCGGAUUGUAAACUCCUGUUGUUGAGGAAGAUAAUGACGGUACUCAACAAGGAAGUGACGGCUAACUACGUGCCAGCAGCCGCGGUAAAACGUAGGUCACAAGCGUUGUCCGGAAUUACUGGGUGUAAAGGGAGCGCAGGCGGGAAGACAAGUUGGAAGUGAAAUCCAUGGGCUCAACCCAUGAACUGCUUUCAAAACUGUUUUUCUUGAGUA
This 579-nucleotide ribosomal RNA is filed under the name uncultured bacterium. RNAcentral's name for it is "bacterial SSU rRNA". It matches the Rfam family "Bacterial small subunit ribosomal RNA", at positions 55 to 648 of the family's 1533-position model. The record is from RNAcentral.